GGGAGGGGAUGUGUCCCGGUGGGCGCCCUGGUCUUCAAAACCAGUGGCAGGCGGCGCAGAGCCGGCUGCGGUGGGUUCGACUCCCAUGCCCUCCCGCCA
This 99-nucleotide transfer RNA is filed under the name Caldilinea sp. RNAcentral describes it as "tRNA-Sec". It matches the Rfam family "Selenocysteine transfer RNA". RNAcentral also lists the same sequence under 1 other name. Lineage: Bacteria; Bacillati; Chloroflexota; Caldilineae; Caldilineales; Caldilineaceae. The record is from RNAcentral.